GGCAGAAGAAAAAUGUAUCUAACGUGGAGAACUUUGAGUCUACUUCUAGGGGUACAAUUCUCUUUAAGCCCUUUUGCUCUCUUGCCGGUGGUUCAUAUCUUUCAUUUGUUUAUUGUUUUCUUGUGGAGGCCGCUGAAGGUGCUGAGAGAGGACCGGAGGAGGCAAAUACAACUGUGACUACUGCCAGAAGGACAAUACAGGAAGGAUCAGGAUAAACUGUGUUGUGUGUCCUGAUUUUGAUCUCUGUAUAGAAUGCAUGUCCGCUGGAGCAGGGGUUACGCCUCACAAAGGCGAUCACCCCUACCAAGUAAUGCUGAACAUUUUAGUUUUUUGGGCCGACUGAUCAUUUGCUUCUGGGAAUUCUUCCUUUCAUUUCGGAAUUCAGGGGCUUGCUUGAAAUUUAUGGCUUGGGGACAAAGAGUAAAGACAGUGCCUUGAGCACUGCAGAAACAUUUAUUUGAACUCGCUGUUUUUCCCUCUUCCAGACAUGGCGCAUGUAGCUGGGAAGAACAGGAAAAAGCUCCAGGCUGUGGCAGAAGGAUGGACUGAAGUCAAGAGAGGCUUGACGAGAGGAAUCAUAGAAAGGAAUUCAUACUAGAAAGAAACUUGCUGUACCAAAAUCCUUUCGAGAACGACCUGUCUCCAGAAUAGAAAGCGCUGUGCCGGCGUUUUGACGUUUUCAUGCAAUUUCAUUCAAAAGAAGAACAUGAUGAGUUGCUGUUGUCAAUGAGUUCCACAUGUUGGAAAGUCUCAAAGAUCUUAAGGAUGCGCAGGCUUCUGGGUGUCGUUCCACAGGCUAGGCAGAGAGGUAUAUUGAGAGAAAAAGAAAAAGAGAUAUUGAAGAAAAGAUCGCCCAGAGAGG
This is a long non-coding RNA of Tarenaya hassleriana, 862 nucleotides long. RefSeq lists it as uncharacterized. The record is from RefSeq and is a predicted model, not a curated record. The transcript has 5 exons. NCBI's taxonomy places the organism in Eukaryota, Viridiplantae, Streptophyta, Magnoliopsida, Brassicales, Cleomaceae.